UUAGGGCACUGGAAGGUCCCUAAACCGAAAGGGGCUCUGCCCGCCCGAGGAUGGGCCGGCGGCCGAUUAGGUAGUUGGUGGGGUAACGGCCCACCAAGCCCAUAAUCGGUACGGGCAGUGAGAGCUGGAGCCCGGAGAUGGACACUGAGACACGGGUCCAGGCCCUACGGGGCGCAGCAGGCGCGAAACCUCCGCAAUGCUCGAAAGAGCGACGGGGGGACCCCAAGUGCCGUGGUACAACCACGGCUUUUCCGGAGUGUAAGAAGCUCCGGGAAUAAGGGCUGGGCAAGGCCGGUGGCAGCCGCCGCGGUAAUACCGGCGGCCCGAGUGGUGGCCACUAUUAUUGGGCCUAAAGCGUCCGUAGCCGGGCUUGUAAGUCCCUGGCGAAAUCCCACGGCUCAACCGUGGGGCUUGCUGGGGAUACUGCAAGCCUUGGGACCGGGAGAGGCCGGGGGUACUCCUGGGGUAGGGGUGAAAUCCUAUAAUCCCAGGAGGACCGCCAGUGGCGAAGGCGCCCGGCUGGAACGGGUCCGACGGUGAGGGACGAAGGCCAGGGGAGCAAACCGGAUUAGAUACCCGGGUAGUCCUGGCUGUAAAGGAUGCGGGCUAGGUGUUGCUUGGACCUCGAGUCCAAGCAGUGCCGCAGGGAAGCC
RNAcentral lists this ribosomal RNA (653 nucleotides) under uncultured archaeon. Its description in RNAcentral is "bacterial SSU rRNA". It matches the Rfam family "Archaeal small subunit ribosomal RNA", at positions 162 to 813 of the family's 1478-position model. The record is from RNAcentral.